ACGAACGCUGGCGGCGUGCUUAACACAUGCAAGUCAAGGGGACCCGCAAGGGUAACCGGCGAACGGGUGCGUAACACGUGAGCAACCUACCGAGAUCUGGGGGAUAGCCGGCCCAACGGCCGGGUAAUACCGCAUACGCUCUUUCCACGGCAUUGUGGAUUGAGGAAACCUCCGGGGGAUUUCGAGGGGCUCGCGGCCUAUCAGCUAGUUGGCGAGGUCACGGCUCACCAAGGCGACGACGGGGAGCUGGUCUGAGAGGAUGGCCAGCCACAUUGGGACUGAGAAACGGCCCAGACUCCUACGGGAGGCAGCAGUGGGGAAUCUUGCGCAAUGGCCGAAAGGCUGACGCAGCGACGCCGCGUGUGGGAGGAAGCCUUUCGGGUGUAACCACUGUUGCCCGGGACGAACAGCUCCUUCGUGGAG
This 423-nucleotide ribosomal RNA is filed under the name uncultured bacterium. RNAcentral describes it as "bacterial SSU rRNA". It matches the Rfam family "Bacterial small subunit ribosomal RNA", at positions 29 to 465 of the family's 1533-position model. The record is from RNAcentral.